AACUGACGCUGAGGCUCGAAAGUGUGGGGAGCAAACAGGAUUAGAUACCCUGGUAGUCCGCGCGGUAAACGAUGAACACUCGGGAUUUGCCCCUUGUGGGUGAGUCCCCCAGCGAAAGCGUUAAGUGUUCCACCUGGGGAGUACGCCGGCAACGGUGAAACUCAAAGGAAUUGACGGGGGCCCGCACAAGCGGAGGAACAUGUGGUUUAAUUCGAUGAUACGCGAGGAACCUUACCCGGGCUUGAAAUGUGCAUGACGGGAGGCAGAGACGCCUCCUUCCUUCGGGCAUGCAUGUAGGUGCUGCAUGGUUGUCGUCAGCUCGUGCCGUGAGGUGUCGGCUCAAGUGCCAUAACGAGCGCAACCCCUUCCGCCGGUUACCAUCGGGUGAUGCCGGGGACUCCGGCGGCACUGCCGCCGCAAGGCGUGAGGAAGGCGGGGAUGACGUCAAAUCAGCACGGCCCUUACGUCCGGGGCCACACACGUGUUACAAUGGGGGGCACAGCGAGCUGGAGCAGGGCGACCUGCUUCGAAUCAUGAAAUCCCCUCCCAGUUCGGACCGGAGUCUGCAACCCGACUCCGCGAAGCCGGAUUCGCUAGUAA
This 600-nucleotide ribosomal RNA is filed under the name uncultured bacterium. RNAcentral's name for it is "bacterial SSU rRNA". It matches the Rfam family "Bacterial small subunit ribosomal RNA", at positions 738 to 1341 of the family's 1533-position model. The record is from RNAcentral.